CCAUCCCUACGGGGCGCAGCAGUCGAGAAUCAUUCACAAUGGGGGAAACCCUGAUGGUGCGACGCCGCGUGGGGGAAUGAAGGUCUUCGGAUUGCAAACCCCUGUCAUGUGGGAGCAAAUUAAAAAGAUAGUACCACAAGAGGAAGAGACGGCUAACUCUGUGCCAGCAGCCGCGGUAAUACAGCGGUCUCAAGCGUUGUUCGGAAUCACUGGGCGUAAAGCGUGCGUAGGCUGUUUCGUAAGUCGUGUGUGAAAGGCGCGGGCUCAACCCGCGUAUGGCACAUGAUACUGCGAGACUAGAGUAA
RNAcentral lists this ribosomal RNA (305 nucleotides) under uncultured bacterium. RNAcentral describes it as "bacterial SSU rRNA". It matches the Rfam family "Bacterial small subunit ribosomal RNA", at positions 333 to 649 of the family's 1533-position model. The record is from RNAcentral.